This 591-nucleotide ribosomal RNA is filed under the name uncultured bacterium. RNAcentral describes it as "bacterial SSU rRNA". It matches the Rfam family "Bacterial small subunit ribosomal RNA", at positions 336 to 916 of the family's 1533-position model. The record is from RNAcentral.
UUCCUACGGGAGGCAGCAGUGGGGAAUAUUGGACAAUGGGCGAAAGCCUGAUCCAGCCAUGCCGCGUGUGUGAAGAAGGCCUUUUGGUUGUAAAGCACUUUAAGCGAGGAGGAGGCUACUUGGAUUAAUACUCUAGGAUAGUGGACGUUACUCGCAGAAUAAGCACCGGCUAACUCUGUGCCAGCAGCCGCGGUAAUACAGAGGGUUGCGAGCGUUAAUCGKAUUUACUGGGCGUAAAGCGUGCGUAGGCGKCUUUUUAAGUCGGAUGUGAAAUCCCUGAGCUUAACUUAGGAAAUUGCAUUCGAUACUGGGAAGCUAGAGUAUGGGAGAGGAUGGUAGAAUUCCAGGUGUAGCGGUGAAAUGCAUAAAAAUCUGGAGGAAUACCGAUGGCGAAGGCAGCCAUCUGGCCUAAUACUGACGCUGAGGUACGAAAGCAUGGGGAGCAAACAGGAUUAGAUACCCUGGUAGUCCAUGCCGUAAACGAUGUCUACUAGCCGUUGGGGCCUUUGAGGCUUUAGUGGCGCAGCUAACGCGAUAAGUAGACCGCCUGGGGAGUACGGUCGCAAGACUAAAACUCAAAUGAAUUGACGG